This 603-nucleotide ribosomal RNA is filed under the name Salmonella enterica subsp. enterica serovar Agona. Its description in RNAcentral is "partial 23S ribosomal RNA". It matches the Rfam family "Bacterial large subunit ribosomal RNA", at positions 618 to 1221 of the family's 2925-position model. The record is from RNAcentral. Lineage: Bacteria; Pseudomonadati; Pseudomonadota; Gammaproteobacteria; Enterobacterales; Enterobacteriaceae.
GGUCAGCGACUUAUAUUCUGUAGCAAGGUUAACCGCAUAGGGGAGCCGGAGGGAAACCGAGUCUUAAUUGGGCGUUAAGUUGCAGGGUAUAGACCCGAAACCCGGUGAUCUAGCCAUGGGCAGGUUGAAGGUUGGGUAACACUAACUGGAGGACCGAACCGACUAAUGUUGAAAAAUUAGCGGAUGACCUGUGGCUGGGGGUGAAAGGCCAAUCAAACCGGGAGAUAGCUGGUUCUCCCCGAAAGCUAUUUAGGUAGCGCCUCGUGAAUUCAUCUCCGGGGGUAGAGCACUGUUUCGGCUAGGGGGCCAUCCCGGCUUACCAACCCGAUGCAAACUGCGAAUACCGGAGAAUGUUAUCACGGGAGACACACGGCGGGUGCUAACGUCCGUCGUGAAGAGGGAAACAACCCAGACCGCCAGCUAAGGUCCCAAAGUCAUGGUUAAGUGGGAAACGAUGUGGGAAGGCCCAGACAGCCAGGAUGUUGGCUUAGAAGCAGCCAUCAUUUAAAGAAAGCGUAAUAGCUCACUGGUCGAGUCGGCCUGCGCGGAAGAUGUAACGGGGCUAAACCAUGCACCGAAGCUGCGGCAGCGACACUCAGGUGU